RNAcentral lists this ribosomal RNA (597 nucleotides) under Triticum aestivum (bread wheat). RNAcentral's name for it is "partial small subunit ribosomal RNA". Lineage: Eukaryota; Viridiplantae; Streptophyta; Magnoliopsida; Poales; Poaceae. The record is from RNAcentral.
AUGGAGUCGGGAGCCAGAUCAGAAGCAAAGCCAGACGAGGAAGGGCCGGCCCCGGCGGGAAGCAGCAGCGGCAGCAAGGUGUACCACGAGAGGCAAAGGAUGCAGUUCUGCCUCCUCCACGCCCUCAACAACCUUAUGCAGGAAAAAGAAUCGUUCACCCGAGCUGAGCUGGAUGGGAUUGCUGAAAAUCUUGUUCUUACUGAUCCAAACAAGGAGAGAUGGACUCCUCUAUCGUUGAUUUGGAAGCCCCACCACAAUGCAUUAACAGGGAACUAUGAUGUAAAUGUUCUUAUCGCGGCGGUAGAAUCUAGAAAGAAGAAGGUAGUUUGGCAUGAUCAUCGGAAGGGGGCAUCUUCGAUAGAUCUGGAUGCCGAAGCGCUGGUAGGUCUGAUGAUCAAUGUACCGGUCAGGAGGUUGAGGGGCCUGUGGACCGGGAGGCAUUGGGUGGCAAUUCGAAGCAUUGAUGGCAUCUGGUUUAAUCUGGACAGCGAUCUUCCGUCGGCCAAGCAGUUUCAGUGCAAAGAAAAACUAAUUGCGUUCCUGGACAGCGUUCUCAGUCAAGGCGGGGAGCUCAUGAUCGUGCUCCAAGACGAAUGA